UUUUAUGUUGUACGUUUACAUAUUAUUUAUUAUUUUCGAAAAUUAGUAAUAUUAAAAUGUAAAACUAUAUUUUAUGCCACGUGUCAUCCAAAAGAAGCUGUAUUUUUCGCUGAGGUGGGCGUUCUAUUUAAAAUGUAAAACUAUAUUUUAUGCCACGUGUCAUCCAAAAGAAACUGUAUUUUUCGCUGAGGUGUGCGUUCUAUGGAGCCUCAAAAGGUCUUUUUUUAUUAGUAAGGAUUCUCUCUUCUUUGACUUCCUGUAACGACCCGGUUUUCUCAACCGGUUGGUUUGGUUUUAUUUUUUUUAAUUAAUAUGAUUGGACCAAACCAUUCCUCAAACUAAUUUAUUCCUAUUUCUAAUUAAUUGUGUUAUUCCUUAUACCUAGCUAUAUAUAUUUGCACUCACCCUUCUUCCUUCUCGGGAGCCGCAUCAACCAUUUUCUUUUCUUCUCUACUUCACCGAUCAUCUCUUCCCUUCUCCAAUAUUGACUUCUCCUUGUUUACGUUCUUGUUCUAUGUGCAAUCUCCAUGCUUUGGGAAGAGGAGCUGUCAUCUUCAUCACACGCCGUUUAGCACCAACCGCCGCCGAUCAACGUUGUGGAGCCGGGUAUCAUACUGGAGGAACAGCCCCUGCCAUCACAGACUCGUUACGUGCCAUCACGUCAUUGCCCUGAUCUCUCCUAUCAGAUCUGUGAGAUGGAGAGCAUGAGCCGAGAGGGAGAGAAGGCGUUCAAGCCGGAAUCACCGCACCUCGACCGCCGUUGAUCCACACCAUAAUCAUCAACCGUGACCCGUGAUCCACCGGAGAUGCAUCACCAUUAGCCCGAAUCCGAGAUCCAUAACCGCGAGUCAAAACCGUGAGGUUCAACUGCUCGUUAUUUAUUACUUGUGUAGCAAGUAACCAUACUUAUAAAUGCAAUACUUAUUCUUAUCUUAAUAUUUUGUCUAUGUUCCUUUUUGAUAUGGUUUGUCUUGAACUCCAUGGCGAAACCCUAAUUUUCUUGGGGAUCAAGUCAUCUCGUUUAUUGCCGGAUCCGUUUCUGGUUCUCCGUAAUGGCUAAGAGGAGCUGUCAUCUUCAUCACACGCCGUUUAGCACCAACCGCCGCCGAUCAACGUUGUGGAGCCGGGUAUCAUACUGGAGGAACAGCCCCUGCCAUCACAGACUCGUUACGUGCCAUCACGUCAUUGCCCUGAUCUCUCCUAUCGGAUCUGUGAGAUGGAGAGCAUGAGCCGAGAGGGAGAGAAGGCGUUCAAGCCGGAAUCACCGCACCUCGACCGCCGUUGAUCCACACCAUAAUCAUCAACCGUGACCCGUGAUCCACCGGAGAUGCAUCACCGUUAGCCCGAAUCCGAUAUCCAUAACCGCGAGUCAAAACCGUGAGGUUCAACUGCUCGUUAUUUAUUACUUGUGUAGCAAGUAACCAUACUUAUAAAUGCAAUACUUAUUCUUAUCUUAAUAUUUUGUCUAUGUUCCUUUUUGAUAUGGUUUGUCUUUAACGAGUAAUGGAACUCCAUGGCGAAACCCUAAUUUUCUUGGGGAUCAAGUCAUCUCGUUUAUUGUCGGAUCCGUUUCUGGUUCUCCGUAAUGGCUAAGAGAAGCUGUCAUCUUCAUCACACGCCGUUUAGCACCAACCGCCGCUGAUCAACGUUGUGGAGCCGGGUAUCAUACUGGAGGAACAGCCCCUGCCAUCACAGACUCGUUACGUGCCGUCACGUCAUUGCCCUGAUCUCUCCUAUCGGAUCCGUGAGAUGGAGAGCAUGAGCCGAGAGGGAGAGAAGGCACACAAGCCGGAAUCACCGCACCUCGACCGCCGUUGAUCCACACCAUAAUCAUCAACCAUGACCCGUGAUCCACCGGAGAUGCAUCACCGUUAGCCCGAAUCCGAGAUCCAUAACCGCGAAUCAAAAUCGUGAGAGUAAUGAAACUCCAUGGCGAAACCCUAAUUUUCUUGGGGAUCAAGUCAUCUCGUUUAUUGCCGGAUCCGUUUCUGGUUCUCCAUAAUGGCUAAGGUUGGUAUAAUCAUGUACCUCCCGACAGCAGAUCCUCGCCAGAGGAAGGACAUCACAGACGAGUUUUACCACUAUAGACGUUUGACACAGACACAAUUGUGGGAUCAAUAUUCUGCGUAUGAACACUGGGCUAAAAGUGAGAUACCAAAGGAUAAAGAGGAACUUGAAGCCGCCCUACAAGAAAGACUCAGAAAAAGAUUCCCUGUGGAUGCAUACAACAAAGCAACAAAAAUUCCUUCGUGAGCUUGACCCAAACAGAGUUCUCCCCAACAAUAUGGUGGAAAAGCUCUUCCCCGUCUCCAACACUGCCUGAAACAUUUUCAUCAAUAGGUUAUUUCCUCCUUAAAGUUACCUCUUUUUGGAAUCCGAUACAUACAUGUUUUCAUUGCAUCUACAAGUGUUUGUACGAAGAGAGGAAGGAAAGAAUUCUGUUUGGGUCAUAAAAAGUGUACAUUUGAGUUAUAUUACUGUUGUUCCAAAUUCCCAUAAAUAAAUAUUGUUCUUUCACUUUCUCGUGA
This is an RNA transcript of Brassica napus (rape), 2528 nucleotides long. It is a transcript of the gene named L-galactono-1,4-lactone dehydrogenase, mitochondrial, with no coding region annotated. The transcript is spliced from 6 exons. The record is from RefSeq and is a predicted model, not a curated record. NCBI's taxonomy places the organism in Eukaryota, Viridiplantae, Streptophyta, Magnoliopsida, Brassicales, Brassicaceae.